This 217-nucleotide ribosomal RNA is filed under the name Campeiostachys nutans. RNAcentral describes it as "Elymus nutans partial small subunit ribosomal RNA". The stretch from base 54 to 217 matches the Rfam family "Eukaryotic small subunit ribosomal RNA", at positions 700 to 864 of the family's 1831-position model. The record is from RNAcentral. Lineage: Eukaryota; Viridiplantae; Streptophyta; Magnoliopsida; Poales; Poaceae.
GGGUUAGUAGGUUGGUCAUGCCUCUGGUAUGUACUGGUCUCACUGAUUCCCCCUUCCUGAUGAACCUUAAUGCCAUUUAUUUGGUGUGAUAGGAAAUCAGGACUGUUACUUUGAAAAAAUUAGAAUGUUUAAAGCAGACUAUCGUCUGAAUACAUUAGCAUGGAAUAAUGAAAUAGGACGGACUGAUUCUAUUUCGUUGGUUUCUAGGAUCACCGUA